UGAAAGAUGGUUCUGCUAUCACUCUUGGAUGGACCUGCGGUGCAUUAGCUAGUUGGUAAGGUAACGGCUUACCAAGGCAAUGAUGCAUAGCCGAGUUGAGAGACUGAUCGGCCACAUUGGGACUGAGACACGGCCCAAACUCCUACGGGAGGCAGCAGUAGGGAAUCUUCCACAAUGGACGAAAGUCUGAUGGAGCAACGCCGCGUGAGUGAAGAAGGGUUUCGGCUCGUAAAGCUCUGUUGGUAGUGAAGAAAGAUAGAGGUAGUAACUGGCCUUUAUUUGACGGUAAUUACUUAGAAAGUCACGGCUAACUACGUGCCAGCAGCCGCGGUAAUACGUAGGUGGCAAGCGUUGUCCGGAUUUAUUGGGCGUAAAGCGAGUGCAGGCGGUUCAAUAAGUCUGAUGUGAAAGCCUUCGGCUCAACCGGAGAAUUGCAUCAGAAACUGUUGAACUUGAGUGCAGAAGAGGAGAGUGGAACUCCAUGUGUAGCGGUGGAAUGCGUAGAUAUAUGGAAGAACACCAGUGGCGAAGGCGGCUCUCUGGUCUGCAACUGACGCUGAGGCUCGAAAGCAUGGGUAGCGAACAGGAUUAGAUACCCUGGUAGUCCAUGCCGUAAACGAUGAGUGCUAAGUGUUGGGAGGUUUCCGCCUCUCAGUGCUGCAGCUAACGCA
Molecule: ribosomal RNA, 671 nt
Filed under: uncultured bacterium
Lineage: Bacteria
Description: bacterial SSU rRNA
Rfam family: Bacterial small subunit ribosomal RNA
Source: RNAcentral